UAACAUAACAUGUGCUAUACAUUGUUUAGUGAAUGGUUUAUGGUUUAUUUAUAUAUAAUAAAAAACCAAAUGUUGCUGAAUAUUUAUUUCGUCUAUAUCACUGGGGGACAUGAGUAAUCAUAAGCAUGUGAGACCUGCUAAGAAUAAGCUGACCAAUACGACCGAGUGAUUGUGGCUACCGUUGUUCAGUUGGUUGGGGAGAUCGUGGUAUUGUUAAAAGGAAGCACAUAAUAUGCUUUGCAAUCAAAUUUUCUUUUGUGUGUGGAAUUAUGAGUAGUUCAAAUGUUAGUGUACCCUUUAAUAUUCU
Molecule: long non-coding RNA, 307 nt
Filed under: Prunus persica (peach)
Lineage: Eukaryota; Viridiplantae; Streptophyta; Magnoliopsida; Rosales; Rosaceae
Description: long non-coding RNA (PPER_LNC006320)
Source: RNAcentral